UGGGCGGCGGCGCUGGGCUGGGCUGUGCUGUGCGGGGCGGGCGUCGGAGCCCGGGGCCCGCGCGCUGCUCGGGGGUGCGUCGCUGAGCUCCCUCGCGGGCCCCGAGUUGGCCUGGGAUGCGAGGCUCUCAGCGUGGCCCGGAGUUGGGAGUCUUUGCGACCAUGCCAAGAGCAGAUUCCAGAGGAGCCCGCAAGGAUAAACGAAUCUGUAUUGCACACUGCUCUACUUUGGGAGGCCUCAGAUAAGUAAUGUCUGUCCCCACCUUGGCCUGGCUGAUAUUGAUGCAGUGAAGAUUUGCGGUCCUCCUGUAACUUUUUAAAGGAUUGUGCCUAAAAUAGAACCAGAGUCAGUGGUACAGGAGCCCGCGGUGUGUGCUUUCUUUUGAUUCGAUAUUUUCAUUGUUUCCGUUGAUGAUUUUUUAAAAAAGCUGUCUGUCUGUUAAUGUCCUACUUUGAACAUUGAGUGUGAGUAAACACUCAGCUGGUGAUUGCCCCAAAGGGAGUCCUGGCCUGCCCUCUUUGAUCUUUGCUGUAAAUUGUAAACAGUAGGCAUCACCAGGAGCAUGAGGAGGGAGAGCUAGAAGACUCUGGAGAAACCAGCAGCGUUGGCUGGGGAGCGGGAUGGGAGACUACCGCGGUGCAGGGUAGGAGAGGAAAGCUGUGCUGUCCAGGGUGCCUGCAGCAGGGGCUCCUGUGGGCUCCAGUCCUCACCGGCUCCAAUGCCCUGUGCAGAAGGACGAAACGACUGAUGAAUCAUUUUGAAGUCAGCGUGUGACCGAAGUUGCAUUUUUUGAUCCCUGACUUACGCAAAACUCCAAGGCAAGAACAGGAGCUGGGAGAAGAAGAAUCGCUGAGAGGAGGAUGGGUGAACCGAGGUAUUGGCAAAGAGGGCUGAAGAGAGGAGCGCAGUUACUGGAGCUUGGAGAUAUGGAUGAAGCGUGGUGCCCAGGUGUCAGCAGAGCGAGGACAAGGAUGUCAGCUGCAGCUGGAAGCAAGGCAGAGGCGUCCUUCAGGAAGGAUAGAGGCUCCAUUCUGACCACAGAACUCAAACUACCUGGGAGCCUACCUGCAGCCAGGUAGUCUCGCGGCCAACUGUUGAAGGAAGAGCACCCAGCCUGUUCCCAGCACUGGAGUAGCUGUAGCCGCAGCAAGACAGAUGGGCUUCCUGUUCCUGCUGCCAGUGAGGGCCAAAAAGAGAGUAAGUGCCUAGAGAAGACAGGAGUGACUGCAUAAUGCACUUUCCGGGCAAAACAGACUUGCAGGACUGGUGAGAGAGGAGAGGUGGCUUCCAGAGCUGCUCUUCCAGCUGGGGCUGGUAAGGUGUUAGUGCAGUGUAUGGAACCACAGGGGCCAGCAGGGCAAAGGCCUGGGGGUGAUACAUUUGUUGCUUUAGGGAACAGGGAGGAGGCCAGUAAGGCUGAGGUUUACAGAACAAAGGAAAGGAUGGAGCUGGCUGCAAUCCCAAUGCUCAGGCAGGAGGUGAGUUUGAGCCUUCAAGCCUUAGCAAUGUAGCAAGACCCUGGCUCAAAAUUUAAAAAUAAAAAUGGGCGGGAUGCAGCCCAGUGCAGAGGCCCUGGAUGUGCUGCCAGUGCCUCAAAAAGAGAAGAAGUAAGGGAUGGUAGGAGAUGAGGUCUGCGGCCUUGAUAAGAUGAAGCCAUAGAGUUAGAAGUGGAGCAGCACAGACGGGGAGAUUGACAGGAGAGAGAAAAACGAGGGGAGGCUUGGACAGAGGAGCCAGUAGUGGGCUGGAUAACAAGCUACACUCACAGCUUUAUAGGGGCCGUCGGUGAAAAGUAAAAGGUUGAAAUUUUAUUUUUAUUUUUUUUAAACUUUUUAUCUGUACUAGGGAUUGAACUCACGACCGCCUGCUUGCAAGGCAGGUGCUUAUGCCGCUGAGCUAAAUCCCCAGUCCCUAAGGGUAAAAUUUUAAUACAGCCCAACACUACUUCACAGGUGAUCAGUAUAAAAAAUUACUCACCAUUUUUAAAUGUCCUACAUUCUUUUUCUCAUUACCUAAGGCUUGAAAUCUGGUGUGUGUUUUCCACUAAAAGCUUAUCUCGAUACUUGAUAAAAUUUGCAGUUGAAAACUGGUUUAAAUGUACUUAAAAGUUUGGCAAGCUAGGCGCCAUGGUGUGUGCCUAUAAUCUCAGCUGCCCAGGAGGCUGAGGCAGGAGGAUUUGCCAGUUGGGGCCUGUGUCAAAUUUUUUUUAAAAAGAUUGCAAAUGGAGCUCAGUGGUAGGGUGUUUAGCUUGUAUGAGAUCCUGAGUUCAAUCUCCAGCAUUGCAGAAAAGAAAAGUUUUGUGGUGGUUGAAUCAUGACAGUAUUUUAAUUUUAAAUUGAAAAAUAAAAAUGUACUUUCUAAAUUAGCCAUAUUUCAGGUGGAGCUAGUUGCUGCAGUGAAGUCUUCAUAGAACAAAAUAGUAGAAAAUCUGACUUCAAAGUUGUUCGGAAGCCCUGGAUACCAGCCGAGCUAGGGGAGUAAGAUUAGGGUUAGGGUUAGAGGCAAGGUGAGCAGUAGUUGGGCUGGAAGAAGGGGCUUAAGGCUGGAAAGGCCAAUAGGUGGCCUCUUGGUCACCCAGGACCAAGAGCCACCCCUCGCUGGCUUUGACUUUGGCCCAGGGGGCUCAGAAUUGGUGGUGACGCUCCAGGCUCCAGGGCCGGGGCCCAGAAAUGUCCCUGGGCCACUACCUGUCUGCAGACACUUGGUCACCAGACCAUGGCACACUCACAGGUGAGAGGGAGAAUUUAGAGACAACCAGUGAUCCAACAGACUGUGUUUAUUCUUGGGGGAUCCAGGGCACAUUUGGGGCUUGGGUAUUUAUCUUUCCCUUUUUAAUUCCCUUCUGCAGGAACACUUAUCAAAGCAUCCUCUUUUACAACUGUUUUAGAGUUGUUAGGAUGAAGGAACUCAGAAGGACCAAACUCCCAGGCAUCUUAGUUUUUACUUCCUGGUGGGAAUGUCACAGCUCUAAGAGGGAUGGACAUCUUAUUUUUUGUUACAGCUACCACUUGCUGAUUACCUCCACGUGCCAAUCACUGGGCACCGCCUGUUACACAGAGUGUCUCAUUUCAUGCUCACACUUCUAUACCACAGAUGUUACUGGCUCCGUUUUCCUCACGAGGAAACAGGCUGAUAUAGAUUACCUGAGUUGCUUACAGUCACUAAGCUCUCCCAUCUCGGAGGUGGGAUUCUAAUGCAGCUCUCACUGGGAGACAGAGUGCCCAUUACAUGUUCAACAUCUAGCAGUUUUCCCAGCCCAGACAGCACAAGGACGCAUGAAGUUAACUGCAUUUUCCCCCCCAAUGGGUCAUUAGUAAAUUUGGGGCCAGAAUAAGGGGGAGUUCAUGGUAUUCCAACAGCACCAGGCAAAUCCAUUCACUUCUACAACAGAAAAAGGUCUCUUUCCUACCUAAAUGUUUUAUAGGGACUCCACAGAUUAGUAAAAACCCAAUAGAAAGAUGGGUAAGAGGCUUUCAUAAUCACAUCACACAAGGAGGCGUCUGCAUCACCAAUAAAAACGCAGGGUGCUUAGCUUUUUUAGUUACUAAGGAAGCGCACAUUAAAACCCCAGUUAGACACUGUCGCUCCCCCAACUGUGGUUAAAAUGGAAAAACCAGAAAAUACCCAAUGUUGGCCAACAGUUUCAGCAGCUGCAAAUGGGGACCACUUUGGAAAAUUCAAAGUUAAAAAAAUGGGGCAAAAGCAAACGAUUUAGGAGUAUAGGCUGAGGUAGUAAACUUGUAAAGAACUUGGAGGGUCCUGCUUCACAGGGAAUAAAGAGGUACCCCUGGGAUACUGGCAGUGUUCUAGUUUCUGAACGGAGGGAAGUUUCGUUUAUUGACCUGUAGAUUGUGGGGAAGGGGUUGGUUUUCCGAAAGUAUGUCAUGAUUUAACCUGUUUGCAGAACUUUUUUUUUAAUAAGUAUGAAAAACUACCUCCCCUCUCCAGCCUGAUCCACAUUAGCAACUAUGUAUCCCCUGACUGAGCCAGUUUCCUGGUGAAUGGAUUACAAAUGCAAGAAAUAAGGCACCUGCAUUUUGCAGGUGGCAGAGGUGAAGAAAAUAGAGGAGAAACAGAUGCAAAAGACAUUGCAGAACCCGAGGCAGCUGGCCAGGUGGAAAGCGCAGCACUCGCCAGUGGAGGACAACUUCCCUGGCUUUAGGCUCUGGCCACUAAGCAGUGACCUGGGCCCAGAUAAAGCGAGCAUUCUUUUGUUUCAAGCCUUGGCAAGCUAUUGAAACACCGCACAGUGUUUACUGAUGUCUGAUUCAGCUUGACCGGGAAGGGGAAGGGAUUUAAAGACGACUGAGAUGAUUUAAAGAUGACUGAGAUGUUGAGCCCGGUCAAAACUGUUUUGUUCAGGAUACAGUGUUGCAUGUCUGUAGUCAGAGCUAUGUGGGAGCCUGAGGCAAGAGGAUUGCAAGUCCAAGGCUAACCUGGGCAACUCAGCAAGACCUUGCCUCAAAAGUUUUUAAAUAAAGAGAACUGAUGAUAUAGCACAAAAAGCAAAAAAGCGCUUUCAAAAAUUAUGACUCUUCUAUCCGUGCAGUUCCCACCUCCAACUAUUUUUGUUUACUUUUCUAGAGUUUUUUAAAAAUUCUUAGUAGGAAUAUUCAUAUUUCCCCUUUAUUAUACAAAAGAGAGGAUUCUUAUCUCCCCUUCUGUAUGUUACAACUAAGAUAUAUGGAGUUGUCAUAUAAAUGCCUAAAAGAUGACUUUUCCUACCCCUGAAGUCUAUUAGUCAUUACCCAGCUGAGGGACACCAGGCUUCUAAUCUCCUAAUCUCAUUAGUGCCUGAAUGAACAUCUUGAAUGUACAUCUUUUCUUGGUUAUGUAAGUGUAUCUCACUUCACUUCCUGCGGGUGGAAGUACUCUGCAAAAGGGCAUAUGUAUAUUUUUAAUUUGCUUUCUGUGUACCCAGUCUUUCUCUCUGCAGCACUGCGGAUGGAGUGUUACCAAAUUUGCAGCUUUUUUUCCCCCCUUCUCCCUUACUAGGAAUUGAAGUCGGGGCUGUGGGCUAACAUCCCUGACCCUGUUUGUUUGAUUGCUCUAAAUUAAGGUAUGGCUACAUUGCCUAGGCCAGCCCCAAACGCACAGUCCUCCUGCCUUGAGCUCAGCAGCUGGGAUUCCAGGAAUGCACCAUCUGCCUGUCAAGGGCAGAUUAUCCCAAAUUCUACCUCAUGCUUUUGGGGUCAAUAACAAAAUCAUUUCUCUGAACUGAGAAAAAAUGGCUUUCAGUUAGCAGGAUUUGUUCAGGAUACAGGAAUUCUUUGCAGUCCUUUCUGCAACUACUCGCCCACAACUUUUUUUUUCACAACUAGUUUUUAAAAGUGAAAAUAUGGGGGGGCAGGGGAAUUAUGCAAUCCAGGUGGCCCGGCACACCUGGAAAGAACCGGGAAUGACUGCAGACGGCUCUACGCGCUCCCCAACCCCUCAGCAAAUUUGCAAGUUUAGCACAAUCUGAAAAGAUCCUUUAGCCUUCGUUUGAGUUCCAGUGUCAACCUGGGAAGGGCAAGACAUGAAUUUCACAAAAGAUUUCCUCAAUGUGAUAGCUAAGAUUUAAUUUUGAUUAAUCUUGUCUGGGCACUGAGGAGGGACAUGGAGGGGGAAGGGAGGGGUGUGGGGCAGUGGACUGUACCUGCUCUGGGAUUCGAUCUGGGCAGAAAAAAGUUCCAGGAAUCAUGGCAGUUACUUGGAGCAAAAGUAACUUAGGGAGAAGACAUGGAUAAAUGUGACCUGCUGGCGCUCAUGUGCCAAACCUUGCCACUUGCACAAGUCAUGGGUUUGUAGAGCAUCUUAACCUUAAGCCCAAGCGCCUGCGUUUGGGUCGGGCUAUGUGAUGUAUUAGUUGUGAGUCCUUGUGGCAAGGCACAUCAUCGCUUAGCUCCUGUUUGUGAAACAGGGAAUCUAAAUCUUCUACCCUACACACAGUUUUGAGAAGAUUAAAUGAAUAAGCUCACGUGCCUAGGAGUGCUCGCAGAAGGUAAGGACUCCAGCAUUUGGUUUGCGAGGGGUGGGGAGGUUGGUUUGGUUUUCACGCUAAUCCAGCCCCAGCUGCACCUUCCUAACCAUCAGUACCUGGACAGCUGUGGGCGUUUCUGAUCCAUGCAGUAAUCUACUUUGCAACUCUAGACAGGGGGUCUCUAUACAGUUCAGGCUGGCCUUGAGCUCACUUUGUAGCCCACGCUGGUCUCAAACUCACAAGGAUCCUCCUGCCUCAGCCUCCUGAGUACUGGGAUUACAGGCGUGAACCAUUACACCCAGCUGGUGAUGUUUCUUGGUUAAAGUUAGUUUAAAUGAUUUAAUUGCUAAAAUGUAAUGUAUGGCCUAGAACAUGAUAUCAAAAGUACUGGUCAGUGUAGAUAUCUAAAAUGGUAAAUGACUUGACUUGCAUGCUUUAUUUAUUUACUCAUCUUUUCAAUAAAAAGUUGCCACUCGCCUUUCCACCCUUUCUGUUUCUCUUUUCCCCUUUGUGUUUUAAGUUAUUACAGAGCCCCCUUGUAUUACUGGGAACAAGAAUAAAGUUAGGCACCCCGGUAUCUGUUUGGUUAGAAAACAGUCAUUAAUCACUCAUUAAUCAAGCUUGGCUCAGCUUUAAUAUCACUGUCAAGAUCAUCCACAGGUGUGUGAGUUGUGCCACAGACAUGCGCAUUCUGAUGUCCUCGGGAUGUAAGAUGACUGUCAUCAGGCACAGAAACGUGGGUUUAGCAUGUGCUUUAGAAUAUUGAUAAAUUAUUAAUUUCAAUUUUAUGGCUUACUAUAUUAAACAAUUAGCCAGAAAAUAUAUCAACAAUAAGUAUUGAAUUUUUAAUAUUUAUUGAGUUUAUAAAAACAUCAAAAUUUUCAACAUUGACUAAUUGUGAAUCACGAAGUCUAAAAACAAAUUCUUAUGUGAACUACAUUGAAAAUACCAAUAACGGGGGCUGGGGGUUUAGCUCAGCGGCAUAAGCACCUGCCUUGAGUAUGCCGGCAGGCAGUCGUGAGUUCGAUCCCCAGCACUGAUAAAAAAGGAAAAACACACACAAAAAAGAAAAUACCAAUAGCGCUUUACAAAAAUAAUUAUUUCACCUAGGGCAGGUUGCACACAUGACAAGCACAUGCAUCUUACACAGCCAUCGCUUAUACUGCACAUGUGUUCUGCUUUCCUGGCCUUUUUGUUGGGCACACUUCACAUCUUAGUGCGUUUUGCUGUUAGGAGAUUUAUUAUAGAGUGUGUAGUUAACAAGAACAUAAGAUACCAAUAAAACAGUCAAUAGACAUUGUGUGUUUAGAAUAAACAUUUUCACAUCAGCUGUGUACUUGCUUACAAAACCUGAAAGAUAAGAUCAGAAAUGAAUUCCUAUUUAACUACAAUGAAAAUACCAAUAGAUCGGGGCCUCCUGAGAAUCGGCCAUGCUGGAACUUGGGGGACCAGCCAAGAAAUCACCUAGCCAGCCUUUCUGGUAAGUCAUGCAAGCUGCUGGGUUCCAGGGAGACAAAACUCAGUGCUGCCCGUGAGCCUGCCAGCUAGCAACAGCAUGGGCUGAGACUCAAACACCAUGUCCCGCCCCUGCCGGUCCGCCACGCCCCACCAGCAUCUAAGGCGCAUAAAGUGACUAAAUGCUUGUACUGUUGGUUGAUUAUGCUGACCUGGGGCCAGAGGUCUGAGCAUCUCGUGGGAGGAUGACAAGAUGCAAUACAGCAAAUAUGGGGGAUUUCCUUCUAUCUUGUCUUUGAAGUCAAAUGUUUUCACUAUUUUGCUUUGUUCUGAUUGUUUUUGCUUUAUUUAGUAUUCUGUUUUGAUUGGUUCUAUUGUGUUUUGGUUUGAUUUUGCUAUACCUGAUGGAAUGGAGAACUAUUGUGAAGAUAACAAGAUAUACUAUGGUAGCUAUUGUUUUCCUGGUAUGCUGCUUUGAAGUUCCAUACCAAUUUUGCUGCAGUGUUUUGAUUGGCUUUGUUCUGUCUCAUUUUGUUGCAUUUUACUGUCUUUAAAAAAAAAAUACCAAUAGAACUCUACCACAAAAAUAAGCUUUGCUUCGGCUGUCACAGCCAAGGCAGUCUUCACACAUGAAGUGCUCCGUGUACACUGCCAGCAGGUAUGUGUGUAGCUUUACUGUGUGGCAGUCUCGUCACCUCUCCCUGUUCUGUCAGGGACUUCCUACUAUACAGUACAGCAUGCACUUAGCAAGGAAAUAAGACAGCAAGAAAACAAAACAUGCAUAAUGAGUACUUCGAAUGGGCACCAGCAUUUUCACAUCAGCUGUGUACUUGCUUACAAAAGAUAACAUCAGAAAUAAAUUGAUGUAGCAUAAACACAAAAGUCUGCCACAGAAAUAGCCUUGUGUUACCUGACCCGAGGCGGUCUUCACAUGGGACAUAUACACCAACAGCACAUGUACUUUGUUUUCCUGUCCUUUCUUGUGGGACACGGUUGACACCUCUUGUUUUCCUGUUGUUGUAGUGGGUCUUCAUGGUGCUGUGCUGCCUGUUCACCUGUCAUCUCGCCACUGCUCCACAGCUUUUUGUGUGGGCAGAAGAAGCAUUUUUCUUUUUCCCAUGCUAUAGGUAAUCUCAUCAGAGCCCCAGCCCCAGUCCUCAAAGGGAAAUUUUCCAUGAUAUUUUGCACUACCUGUUUUGUUUGUAAACUAUCAAACUGUGCCAUACAUGUUUAGGACUGGGUGAAACACAGCCCUAAGGUGUCGUCACCUUUUCCCAGCCAUUUGGACUCUGCUUCUGCUCACUUCAGUGACAGUUUACUGUGUUGUGGACAGAAUAGUUGUGUACUCCCAAAAUUCAUGUGUUUCCAAGUGGUGAGGAGGGGAAGGGAAGGAAUGAACACAGAAUUAAGCCGUUUUAUUACAUACACCAGUUCCACACAGCGGAAGUAAUCAUUCUGUGCUGCAAACAUGGGCUAACAAAAGUAAAAGUUUUAAACUUAAUGUGUAGAAGCCUAGCCCUGAAUGUGGUGGUGUUUGGAGAUGGGGCCUGCAGGUGGUGGUUAGGGUUAGAUUAGGUCCUGAGGAUGGGGUCCUCAUAAUGAGAUUAAUGGUCUUAGAAAACGAGGAAAAGGAAGCUGAGGCAGGAAGGUCAUAAGUCUGAGCCCAGCCUAGACAAUUAUCAAUUAACAAAACCCAUCAAAAAAUAAAAAGGGACUGGUGAUGGAGCUCAGUGCAGAGGCCCUGGAUUCAAUCCCCAGGGCAGGGAUCUCUGCUCAAGAUCAAAGAGGAAGAGCCAUGCGAGAGUUCAAGAAAAGAUGACCAUCUGCAAGCCAAGAGAGUGCAUCAGGAACUGAAUCGGCUGGCACCUUGACCUAAGGCUUUCCAACCAGUGGAACUGUGAGAAAUAAACUUCUGUUAUUUAAGCCA
Cavia porcellus (domestic guinea pig) is the source of this 9344-nucleotide long non-coding RNA. RefSeq lists it as uncharacterized. The record is from RefSeq and is a predicted model, not a curated record. NCBI's taxonomy places the organism in Eukaryota, Metazoa, Chordata, Mammalia, Rodentia, Caviidae. The transcript has 2 exons.